Long non-coding RNA from Camelus dromedarius (Arabian camel), 2227 nucleotides. RefSeq lists it as uncharacterized. The record is from RefSeq and is a predicted model, not a curated record. The transcript has 8 exons. NCBI's taxonomy places the organism in Eukaryota, Metazoa, Chordata, Mammalia, Artiodactyla, Camelidae.
UGUACUGCCACUGGUUCAAUUGGAAAAAGAAUGGCCAGGUGAUCACCUCCAAAGACAAAACCUGAAGACCUCCUUCCCAACUUGAAAACUAAUUGAUAGUCCCAUUUCUAAUCAUAAGGGUGCCUGCAGGCUCUGCCCUGGGGUACAUUCAAACUUUCUGCUUGGGCUUGUUUCCUAGGUGAGCAAUAAUUGGUGAAGGAGAUGCUGGUGGUUCAGCUCAAGGAAUGCAUGCUGGUGACUGUGACUCAUCCUAGGAGUCUUGGCUCAGUGCAAGCACAAAGGACCCACGGAUGAGGAACGAUGUGUGCAGCUUACUUCACUUGGAAUGACAUUCUCCAGGGGCAUCCAUGUUGCUGCAAAUGGCAUUAUGUUGUCGUUUUGUAUGGCUGAAUAGUAGCUUUUAAUACAUGCAUGUCCCUUGACCCAGCAGAUCAUCUCUACGAAUUUACCUAAGAGAAUAAUGAGAGGUUGCAGAGACACGCAUUAAAGCAACAGGACAGAGUGGAAAUCAAACUACUUAACUGACCAUUUUUGGAAAAGAAGUUCUUGAAGGGAGCACAGAAAUUGAAGAAUAAAUGAAUAGCAAAUCCAGCUAAUCUCAAAGAUUGAAGCCAUUUUCUUUGGUGAAAAGUUUUCCUGAAAGUGAAGGGUGAACUGCUAAAUUAGAACCUCCUAGGAGGUGAGAAUUUUUCAGUGGCUGGAAGACCAGCCGGAAGAGAACCUGUGUGUCUCAGCCACGACUCGGUACCCGCCAGCCACACACACCUGCUGGGGACAGGCGACCUGCAGCCACAGGCACCUGCCCCUCCAGCUGUACUUCUAGAACAACCACUGGCUAUGCCCGCAUUCUGCACACGGCCCCUGGAGCGCCUACUAUGUAGCAGGAAAAAAGCUUCAGCCUCCUAGACCUUUCCUGAGUUUCAAAGGGCCAACUGGAACAGUUACUAAUCAGGGGAGUGAAGGAACCCAGAAAUAAAGGAGGAACAGUUAAGAAACAAUAGUGCAGCGAUUGGGCGGGUCCUGUUCCUCCUCAAGGAAGAUACGUAACAAUAUAUCUUUGAGAUCUUCUGCAGGAACUAAGGCCCUGACCCAGGUGAAAGAUGGUACUCAGGCUGAGCACAAGCACGUGGACCCCAUAUUGGAACCAGGAGGCUGAUUGAGAUUCCGGAACACAACCCUGUUACCUCCCCACCAGCCAAUCAGAGGAAGGUCACACCCCGUGCAGCCCUGCCCCCUAAAUUUUGCCUGUAAAAACUCUUCCUCGAAAACCAUCUGAGAGUUUAGGCUUUUUGGGUACGUGCUGCUCGUUUUCCUUGCUCAGCCCUUGCAGCAAACUUUUCUCUGCUUCAAACUCCGACGUCUUGGUUAGCUUGGCCUCACUGUGCGUCCGGCACACGAACUUGGAUUCGAAACAGAAAGCUUGCUUCUCUGCAUCAAGCUCUUCCUGAUACUGAGGGAACUGCAAUGAUCACGGCCAGCCAGGCCCACGAGCAUCUUCCCUGAGACAAUCUUUUUUAGAACACAUUUUGACAGGCUUAAUUUGUUCAUUUGUAAGAAAGUACCUGCCAGAUACUGAAGUCUGGAGAAACUUUCAACUGGUGUUCUGUGAAAAAAGUGGUCUGUGAAGCUUUUGAUCCAGUUCAUUCCUUUCCCAACUCCUUCUUGUUUCAAUUCUGUCAUAAAUCUACAAAAAUGCCAUGAACACAUCAGAGUCAAGAUGCUGUGAUGUUACUUACUUUUAGCUAAAAAAGGUUCGGGUACACUGAGCCGACUCCGGGAGGCCUGCUCACUUCAUCCCAGGGUCCGUGCCUGCACCAUUACCCUGCCGCCCGGGAGCAGCUGGACUUUGACCCAAGUCCUACAGAGCCCAGUCAGAGGAAGGUGGAGAAUGUCAAUCAUCUGGAUUCCUGCCUGAACAUUCAUCCGCUGUGAGCAGAGAAUACAAAAGCAUCCUGAACAAACGGUCUUUUCUCUGAACACUGAAUUUAAUUCUAAAUCGAAUUCUGAAGAAAUGGACAUUUAGGAAGAAAAUGCUCUAUCAAAGCCCUGAUGAGAGCUAGGAAGGGGAAUGAUGUGAAAGGAGAUGCCAAAUUAAAAAAAUUUUUUUUUCAAAAGGUUCAGAAAAAGCCUACAGCCAAAAAAUGCUAAAAGAUGGUUUUAAAUAAAUGAAAGCUUUCUAAAAAUAAAAUGCUGACAUUACCAUCUUGAAUAAUCCCAAUUAUGAUGA